GGGGCAAUGGCGGCGCUUCCGGUGGGCGGCGGAAGUGCGCGCGUUCGGCACAACGAACUACAAGUCCCAGAAGACCGCGGGCCGGCGGCGGUUUCUCCCGCCAGCGGCGUCGAGGGUCGAGUGUCUUGCUGCCGCCGCCAGCCCGAGGCCGGGUGUCACGAGACGGCGGCUCGCGUGCUGGUCUCGAGCGUCGCUCCUUCGGCUCUUCUCCUGGGUGCGCCUCUCCCCGUGGCCCCAGGUCUCCUCGUUUGGGGCUGAGGCCGCGACGCCAGAGCGGACGCCUGCGGCCGACGUCGAGCGCGGGGUUCGCGUCCGGGCGGCGCUGCGCCUCCGGCGUCUCCGCCUCGUGGUCCUCCGACGCCUGCCCGCGGAGGAGGGUGCGGCGCGCGGGGGGCGGCGGGAGUGAGCGCUCCGAGCCCGGCGUCGUCCUGGGUCUCGGCCGCCGCGGAGAGGGAGGUCUGGUGGCGCCCGAGAGAGCGUGAGAGACGGAGGCCGGGCGGCUGGAAGCGAGGCUCCCCGGUGGCGGCCGAGGGUGCGCCGUUGGCUCUCUCCGGCCUGCCCUCCGUGCGACAGCGGCAGGCACAGGCCAGCCGGCGGGCCGGGCGGGGCCGCAGGGUGUGGGCCGCAGAGUCGCCUUGCGUCUGCUCGGCCGUCGCUUGCGGGCUCAGUGUCGCCGCCUGGGCUCGGGGGCGGAGACCCGCCGCCGCUGCCCGCCCGGCUGUUCGCGGAGGGCUCCCGCGGAGCCGCCCUGGCCGCGCUCGCACCUCGGGCCCCAGCGUCGCCUUCCGUGCCUGUGGCCGGCCUGCCUGGCGCGGACGCCCCCGGGGCGGGCGCUCCGCACCUGCUGACGCGGUUUUAGUCCUCCCGGAGUCUGCAGUCCGACUUGGAAGGGAGAGGCUCAGGGAGCGGCGUUGACUCAGGCGAGGGCAUUGUGGCCAAGGAGGGAUGGCGCGUCUGCGGUUUUCCUCUCUCCAAAGUGGACGCGGGACGCUAGUGUGCCCUUUUGUUGGCUCUGGACGGCGUCGUCUGCGUGGGGUGUCGAACAGUACGCGGUGCCGGCACCGCGGGGCGAAGUCGGCGCUGAGAACGGCAGAGCUGAAAGGUGGAAAGGACCAGGGUCAGUGUUGGGAUCCUCCUUGAGUCGCUGAAUCCGCUCUGGAACUUUUCCUUCGGAGCUGCCACCCACAGUCCUGAAGUCAUCUCACAGUUUGUGAUCAGUAAUGAUUGGUGCAGAGUGCAUAUGUCAACAUGGAGGUACCAAUGUCUGGCGACAGCCAUCGCAGUCUUCCCUGUCUCUUGGAAAAAAUGUUGUGUUUUCGGAGAUUGAAUAUCGAGAGGAAGAAAAUGGUUCCUAGUUUUUGGUGACAGACCUUGAUCUGGGAGGAGCCCACACAGACUAAGACAUCACCCAUCCUUUUGCUGCAAGUAUAUCCUAGGAUCUGAAGCCUUCUGAUCCUCACCUUGGGCUUAGAUGCUCCUGUAUCAUCAAAUCCUGGAGAGAAUCCUACACCAGUUCCCUCCCCUGCCUCACCUACCUGCCAUCUCUGACAAGUCGCAGCAGCCACUUGGUUAAGCAGAAGGUGUAACUUGG
RNAcentral lists this long non-coding RNA (1591 nucleotides) under Equus asinus (donkey). Its description in RNAcentral is "lncRNA (ENSEASG00005031910.1)". Lineage: Eukaryota; Metazoa; Chordata; Mammalia; Perissodactyla; Equidae. The record is from RNAcentral.